CACCGAAGCUGCGGAUUGAUACCAAUGGUAUCAGUGGUAGGGGAGCGUUCUAAGGACAGUGAAGUCAGACCGGAAGGACUGGUGGAGUGCUUAGAAGUGAGAAUGCCGGUAUGAGUAGCGAAAGACGGGUGAGAAUCCCGUCCACCGAAUGCCUAAGGUUUCCUGAGGAAGGCUCGUCCGCUCAGGGUUAGUCAGGACCUAAGCCGAGGCCGACAGGCGUAGGCGAUGGACAACAGGUUGAUAUUCCUGUACCACCUCUUUAUCGUUUGAGCAAUGGAGGGACGCAGAAGGAUAGAAGAAGCGUGCGAUUGGUUGUGCACGUCCAAGCAGUUAGGCUGAUAAGUAGGCAAAUCCGCUUAUCGUGAAGGCUGAGUUGUGAUGGGGAAGCUCCUUAUGGAGCGAAGUCUUUGAUUCCCCGCUGCCAAGAAAAGCUUCUAGCGAGAUAAAAGGUGCCUGUACCGCAAACCGACACAGGUAGGCGAGGAGAGAAUCCUAAGGUGUGCGAGAGAACUCUGGUUAAGGAACUCGGCAAAAUGACCCCGUAACUUCGGGAGAAGGGGUGCUUUCUUAACGGAAAGCCGCAGUGAAUAGGCCCAAGCGACUGUUUAGCAAAAACACAGCUCUCUGCGAAGCCGUAAGGCGAAGUAUAGGGGGUGACACCUGCCCGGUGCUGGAAGGUUAAGGAGAGGGGUUAGCGUAAGCGAAGCUCUGAACUGAAGCCCCAGUAAACGGCGGCCGUAACUAUAACGGUCCUAAGGUAGCGAAAUUCCUUGUCGGGUAAGUUCCGACCCGCACGAAAGGUGUAACGAUUUGGGCACUGUCUCAACCAGAGACUCGGUGAAAUUAUAGUACCUGUGAAGAUGCAGGUUACCCGCGACAGGACGGAAAGACCCCGUGGAGCUUUACUGUAGCCUGAUAUUGAAUUUUGGUACAGUUUGUACAGGAUAGGCGGGAGCCAUUGAAACCGGAGCGCUAGCUUCGGUGGAGGCGCUGGUGGGAUACCGCCCUGACUGUAUUGAAAUUCUAACCUACGGGUCUUAUCGACCCGGGAGACAGUGUCAGGUGGGCAGUUUGACUGGGGCGGUCGCCUCCUAAAGUGUAACGGAGGCGCCCAAAGGUUCCCUCAGAAUGGUUGGAAAUCAUUCGUAGAGUGCAAAGGCAUAAGGGAGCUUGACUGCGAGACCUACAAGUCGAGCAGGGACGAAAGUCGGGCUUAGUGAUCCGGUGGUUCCGCAUGGAAGGGCCAUCGCUCAACGGAUAAAAGCUACCCCGGGGAUAACAGGCUUAUCUCCCCCAAGAGUCCACAUCGACGGGGAGGUUUGGCACCUCGAUGUCGGCUCAUCGCAUCCUGGGGCUGUAGUCGGUCCCAAGGGUUGGGCUGUUCGCCCAUUAAAGCGGUACGCGAGCUGGGUUCAGAACGUCGUGAGACAGUUCGGUCCCUAUCCGUCGUGGGCGUAGGAAAUUUGAGAGGAGCUGUCCUUAGUACGAGAGGACCGGGAUGGACGCACCGCUGGUGUACCAGUUGUUCUGCCAAGGGCAUAGCUGGGUAGCUAUGUGCGGAAGGGAUAAGUGCUGAAAGCAUCUAAGCAUGAAGCCCCCCUCAAGAUGAGAUUUCCCAUAGCGUAAGCUAGUAAGAUCCCUGAAAGAUGAUCAGGUUGAUAGGUUCGAGGUGGAAGCAUGGUGACAUGUGGAGCUGACGAAUACUAAUAGAUCGAGGACUUAACCAU
This 1727-nucleotide ribosomal RNA is filed under the name Bacillus cereus VD166. Its description in RNAcentral is "bacterial LSU rRNA". It matches the Rfam family "Bacterial large subunit ribosomal RNA", at positions 1192 to 2925 of the family's 2925-position model. Lineage: Bacteria; Bacillati; Bacillota; Bacilli; Caryophanales; Bacillaceae. The record is from RNAcentral.